Molecule: transfer RNA, 59 nt
Filed under: Mico humilis (Roosmalens' dwarf marmoset)
Lineage: Eukaryota; Metazoa; Chordata; Mammalia; Primates; Cebidae
Description: tRNA-Ser
Source: RNAcentral
GAGAAAGAAUGCAAGAACUGCUAAUUCAUGCCCCCAAGCCUAAAAACCUGGCUUUCUCA